CCUACGGGAGGCUGCAGUGGGGAAUAUUGGACAAUGGGCGAAAGCCUGACCCAGCAACGCCGCGUGAAGGAAGAAGGCUUUCGGGUUGUAAACUUCUUUUGACAGGGAAGAGCAGACGACGGUACCUAUCGACUAAGCCACGGCUAACUACGUGCCAGCAGUCGCGGUAAUACGUAGGUGGCACGCGUUGUCCGGAUUUACUGGGUGUAAAGGGCGUGUAGCCGGGCUGACAAGUCAGAUGUGAAAUCCGGGGGCUCAACCACCGAACUGCAUUUGAAACUGUUGGGCUUGAGUAUCGUAGAGGCAGGCAGAAUUCAUGGUGUAGCGGUGAAAGGCGUAGAGAUUAGGAGGAAUACCAGUGGCGAAGGCGGCCUGCUGGACGAAAACUGACGGUGAGGCGCGAAAGCGUGGGGAGCAAACAGGAUUAGAUACCCGGGUAGUC
Molecule: ribosomal RNA, 442 nt
Filed under: uncultured bacterium
Lineage: Bacteria
Description: partial 16S ribosomal RNA
Rfam family: Bacterial small subunit ribosomal RNA
Source: RNAcentral